Long non-coding RNA from Equus quagga, 7240 nucleotides. RefSeq lists it as uncharacterized. The transcript is spliced from 2 exons. The record is from RefSeq and is a predicted model, not a curated record. Lineage: Eukaryota; Metazoa; Chordata; Mammalia; Perissodactyla; Equidae.
UAUAAUGUCAUAGUAAUAUAUCCCUUUUAAAAUGCUUUCUUUCCUUGAAGUUUUUGUAUUUUAAAUCUUCUAUCUAAGUUUAGAAUGAAAAGCUUUUUUCUCUUUAAGUAACUUCAACUUCAACUUCAAGUAUGUUGUAGAAAUAUUUUGAACGUCAAGGGGAUCCUUCUUAUUGCCUUGAUCCAGAAAUCGUACCAUGAACUAAGCUGGUGCUAAGAAUGGUAGUUUUGUUGAGGUGUCACGUAAGACUGGAUUAAAAAGGAUGGUUCUGUUGGGGUGUCACAUAAGACUGGAUCAAGAAGCAUAGUUAUCUUAAGCCAGGUUCCCAAGAGGAAGAACCUGAGACAGACUUCCGUGUAUGUGAUUUAUCAAGGAUGAGCUCUCAGGAGAAACCUGUAAGGGGAUGAGGGGAGCAGGAUAGGACAGAGGAAGAAGCCAGGCAAAGACUUGGGCUUAACUGGUGACUGACUUCAGCCUGAUUCCACAGGCGGCUCAGUCACAUGAAUUUCACGUGGUUGUCUCUCUGUGAGAUGAGGCGGUUGGGCUUUUGUACUACGUGUUAGCCAGUCAACGUCUGUAGGCUGCCCUCAGUGCGGCAAGGAUGGAGCUUAGCCGUAAAGAGCAGUCACUUCUCAGGCAAGGCAGCUCUUGUUCUGCCCAGGCCAAUUCUCAGGAGAAGGGAGCAUCUGGGAGCAGUUAGCAGCAGCUGGAGAGGGACAUGCCACCCCAGGAAAGCGGAUCUGGGUGGGGCAGCAACAGCAUCCACUACAGUGGUCUCAGUACCUACCAUCCGGAUAGCUCCACGUUCCUCCUAGGAAGGAUGGUGCAGGUUCAAGGUCAGCAUGGGUGUUGUUGAUAGCUACUAUAACACCAACAAAAGGAAGUGAAACAUUCUAGAAACUUGAUUUGCCCAAAAAGUUAGUAUACCAACUUUUUUUCACUUCCCAUUAUCAUCUUAUCAUUAGUGUCCAGGCAAGCUGAUUAGGACAAAUGUUCACCUCUGCCUCUUCUGAUGAGGCUACCCACAGAGAAUCUCUGGGAGCUGAGGUUCAGAAUCAUCCUCUCUGCUACCUGCUGGAAGGAGAGUUCCAGUCUAUUGUGCAUCCUUGGUCAUGGUCCUUAGGUGAUAUUCACAGUAAACGACAAUGACACUGCACUUGACACUUACGUCUAAAUUCCACAUUACUUUUCGUUCAUGUCAGGUAAAGUGCUUUAAUUUUGUAGGUGGUUGACAAUAACCACUAUAACUGCGUCCCUGAGAUAUCCAUACGAGCUGACUCGAUGCUUUGCAUUUAUGCCUUUAAACUUGCCCGUAAAAUUUGGCCUAUGUACCUAGCCACAUACUUUUUAAAAAUAUGAUAAAAUAUUGUUGUGAGGCAAUUCUAGGAGUUGGGGUGGGGGACCACUUAGACAUCAGACAAGUGUUCAGAUUUUGGUCCUGCUACUUUAUAGCUAAAUUUGGCCAAGUCAUUUAACUUCAUUGAGAUUCAGUUUUCUUAGCUUUAAAAUGGGAAUAAAACCAAUCCACACUCCUGCUCUCAAGGAUUUUAAUGAGCCUCAACAUAAGACAGAAAAGGCACCUCGUAUAACAUCUAACUUCUUAAAUCCCUUCUCUUCUUUCUCCUUCCUCCCUUCUUUCCUCUGCAGAAAGUGGGUUCAUGUGUUUUCUUUUUUCCUCUUGCCCUUCAAAGGAUGUCAUUUGCGCUAAGUUCUGACGCCAGGCUGUUGUCCUGUGAUGUCUGUUUGCAAUCUGUCUUCACUUAUAUGUAAAUCACCAAGUCCUCAGCACCUCCUCACUUUCCUCAAAAAAGAAAAAGAAAAUUCACGCAUGCCAAAUAUAUUAGAGAGAAAUAGAACAUUCUCUGAAUCUUCCAAAAAGAAAAUGCAGCAAUGUCCACAUUUUCUUCCUACCCACCCACCAGCAAUUUGCUCCAAACUCUUCCUCUCAAGGCUAUUCUUCAAAGCCCCUUCUGGCCAAGCCCAGCAGCUCUCCUCCUGACACCACUACAGAAUCUCCACCUGGCCUCUAUUAGGCUGCUUCUUGUGCGGUUUUUGCUAACACUCCAAACUCUUAUUAAACUGAGUCUUUCCAACAAAUGCAAUUCUCUAGUGAGAGGAGGUCUAAUAAAAAAUAAAUAAAGUCCCUCCUUCUUAUAGUAGGAAAGCAGGCAAGUGGAGGGGAGGAUGAAUUUAAUACAAAACAGCUUCCUUGUGCUUGGUAGGAAAACUAUUUCUACCGGUAAUCUGCGAUCUGGAGCUCCUCUUGCUUUUAGGGUCUAAAUAAUCGUGUAAACUUCAUUUGUUUCAUUUGAAACUUGGCUGUCAUUUCCUGUCAGGAGGAAAACAAGAGAAACUCUGACUACACGUUCAUCUCCUGAUUACCUGUCAGCCUCGCAGGAACAAGCAUCUUGCAAUUUGUCCCUGCCCAGGCACUUCAUCUUCAAACAGAAACUGCAUCUUAAUUAUAGCCUUUAAUGGGCUGUUUCACUCCAGGAUCAAUAUGUCUGACAAAAACCAAGCUCUGCUAAAAGCUCAUUAAUUCUCAUCUGACUAAUUCAGGAUUUGUGAUGAUUUUGGCAGGGACCAAGCUGAAGUUUGCCUCUUAUAUUGCUGCUUACAAAGGUUUAGCUUGGCCAAUUAAUUGGGAAGAACAAAUUUGCCCGGGAAGUAUUUACAGAGCAUCUAUUUGCAUGGAGAUAACAGGCUAAUAGUAGCUUCUAGACUGCUCAAUUCCUACCAGGCAACCCAAGUUAAUCACUAUUUUCUCUCGGUAACCUGGACUAUGAAACUGCAAAGUGUAGUGCGUCAAAAAAUAUCUACAGACCCACUAGUUUUAUUGCCUCAUGGUCAAUGCCUUUGGUAUAUUGCACACAUCCCUCAUCCCACCUCUGAUUUCAGCCACAGCUGUAGUAGACAAUUCCAUGUAGGGUCCAGCUCAUCUCUGCAGGCAACAUCCAAUCUCCAGGACUGGAUGUGCAUGUCUUGUUGCCCUUGUGCCAGGGCCUCCUCUGAACCCACAGGAAGGGCAGGCCAGAAGUGUAGGGGGUUAAUGCCGACAGAGGGUAACGCUCCACUAAUGGGAGCUGGUGGGUAUAAUGACGGACAUGUUGGGAGGCAUUCCGUAAGCUUCUCAGGAGUCCUGGCAGAAGUGAGCCCCUACGGCCAACAGCUGUGAUCUUGAUCAUGUGCACUUGUAUUGGCUUCCUGCUUUCCUCUCUCACUCUCCCUGAUUCAUAGCAUCACUUCCCAAAUAAACUACCUGCCCCCACUUUGCUUUUGAGGGAAACCUAAGGUACCCCCUCCUUCAAAAGUAUGUGUGUAUCUGAGAUGUUUGCUCAUUCCUUAAUCCACUCGUUCCUUGGUAAAUGCAUUUCUUUCUUGUACUUCCUGGGUUUAGGAUGGUCCUUUGGAAAGUGUCGAAUGGGCAAUGUCUAUCUUCUUUUUCCUUUGCUGCACUUACAGAACUUUUUCCCUUCCCCCUGAUGUCCUUUUCCUGGGUUCUCACAGUCUUCUCUGCAGCCCUCUAUCCAGUUCUGAUCUGUCCCUAGUGCCAUUCCUCUGCCUCCUCCUUUUCCCCAAUAUUAGCAUAAUUUAUUACCCCCCACCCUUCUUCUGCCCUAUGUUCUGUUUCUCAGUAACACAACCCCAAAUAACGAAUAUAGUAGAUGGAUCCAUGUCAACAGAGCUCAUGUAUUUUUAUGUUACUCUGAGAAGGUAAGAAGUACAUGGUUUCACCAGGACCUUCUAAGCAAUUGAGCCCUUUCUAUUAUCACUCAAAUCAUGCCUAGAUUUGAUCAGAUGGAGACAUGCCAAGUGCUCCUGCCUUCUUGACCUUUAAUUGUCUCAGCUUUUGGAAAGUCACCAUCACCUGUUCUCCUCUGACCUCCGUGGGUCUUCUUUCUCCAUUUUUUUGGUCUUCUUCUCUUCUUCUUCCUGUCAUUUAAUUCCUUGUUACUCAUAAUGUGAUACAAUGACCAGUAAUAUUAUUUAAGCCUGGAAGUCUUCUACAAGUGUAGAUUCUUGGGUUCCUACACCACAUCUACUGAAUCACAGACUCUGCAUUUUUAAAAGACCCUCGGGAUUCAUAUAUACUCUAAAGAUUGAUAAAUAUUGCAACUGUUGGUGGUUUCCUAGGUUGGCAGACCUGUUUCUCUUCUCACUUUCCAAACUCUUCCAGGAAAUGUCUCUGCCCUCAUAACACCAGCUACUGUCCAUGAACUGAUGACUACAGCAAUCUAUUUCCAACUCAGCUCUCUGUUCUAAGCUCACGCUCAUUUGUGCAGCUGUUCCAUUGCCCACUGGACAUGUACAUCUGGAUAUCUCACAGGGGAGCCUGGCUCAAGAUAUGAAAGUGUGGUUUCUCUAGGGAGGCCAUUGCUGAUUGGGCUAGCCUGGCCAUUCAUAUCAAUUGGGCCCAAUUUAAAACUAGUUUGGGCGAUUACCUGUUGCCAUAGUAAAAAAAAAAAAAAAAGUUUUGUCCUUUCUUGAAUUUGAAGUCUAGGUACCUUUUAUUCUAAAAAAUCAGUGACUUUUUUAACUUUUAUCCUAUCAACAAACACCCUUGUAGUGGAUGCCAUGUAUUCCUUCAGAUCCGGUCUUCAGGGUCAAUACAGCUGACUCCCUGCUGCUGGAGAUCUCUGCAGUUGCCCUCCUUACUGGAAAUUGUCCGAGGCUGCAGGAAACUCAUUUUCUCAAAGGAUCCCAUCCAGGAUACCAAUUUAUAUUCGGUUGUCACGUCUCCUUAGGCCCCUCUCAGAGAUGGCAGUUUCCCAGACCUUCUUUGAUUUUGAUGACCACGACAGUUUUGAGUCAAUAUUCCUCAAAGAGACCUAAGAUAUUUUGUGGAAUUUCCUCAGUUGGGAUUUGUCUGAUUUUUUCGUAUGAUUUGGUUGGGUUUAUCAAUGUUUGGGAGGAAGGCCACAGAGGGAAGUAACAUUCUCAUCACGUCAUAUCAAAAGUACAUGCAUUUAACAUACAUCAUUACUGAUGUCAGCUGUGAUCACUGGGCCAAGACAGUGUUUGCAGGUUUCUUCACAGUAAAGUUACUCUUUUCUCUUUCUUUCCAUACUAUACGUUUUGAAAGGGAGUCACUAUAUGCAGCCCACACAUAAGGAGAGGAGAAUUAAUCUCUACCUCCUUGAGGGACAAAUAUCUACAUAAAUUAUUUGGAAUUUGUCUGCAUGGAGAUUUGCCUUUGGUCCUCUAUUUAUUUAUUUAUUCAACCAUUUAUUUAUAUCAGUAUGGACCAGUAGAACUUAUACUUUGGGUUAUCAUCUAAUACUACUUUACAUAUUUUGUUAUUCAGGUUGUUUCAGACCUGGCCAUUGGGCUUUUUCAGUUGACUCUUGUUCCUCUAACAUACCCCUAUCAUUGUGGGGAUUUUUUUGAUGUUUUGUUGGAGCACUUCCUUACUCUCUGAUCCUUUAUGUAUAUAUCUAUGUAUAUAUAUGCACACACAUACAUUAUAUGUGUGUUAUCAGAUAUGUUACAUUACAUAUAAUAUAUUGAUAUAUUAUACCAUAUAUAUAUAUAUUGUAUUUGACAUGCCUUGUAAAUUUUUGUUGAAAGCAUGGUAUAUCAGAUAAUGGGAACCGAAGUAAAUGGGCCUUUAGUGUAGGAUUUUAUGUUAAUCUGGCUAGCAGUUGAGCUGUGUUUGAUGUUUGCUGUGGCUACAUUGUGUUUAUCUCCCCUGUUGCUUUGGCCUUCAUAAGUACUCCUCCUCAGAGAGAGUCUGCAUGCUGUGGCUCCCUCUGCUAUACUCCACUGUUAUUAUACUGGAGUGCUGUUGAUGUUGUGGUAAGGCGUGGCAGAGGGGAAGCAUUCUAUAAUCUUAUGAUUAAAUCUCAGUCUUUCAGUGGGCCGGUGUCUCUGGACUAUGACCUUUGUGUUUCUUACCUUUUCUUUUUUUCCCCCUUAGAUGACACAGGAAGGCUGAAGGGGAUUGGAGGAGGAGGAAUGUUCCUCACCUAGCUAGGAUAAGGCUCCGGCAAAGUCUUUUUUCUGCAGAGUAGGCCUUCUUAUGGGGAGUGCUGUGGGUAUAUUUCACGAGGAUUACUCCACCUCCUGGGCAAGAAGCAUGAAGGGAUCUUUCUUGAAUCUUUACUGUGAGAACCUGUGGGGUUCUUGGAUGUAAAAUCCAUGAAAGUGUAGGGUCUGCCCUAAGAUUGCAGCCCUCAGGAAUUUUUCUCUCAUCAGCUGCAGUUACAGCUGUUCAGGUUCUAUGUCAGGCCAGGUCCUUCUUGCAUGUAUAGGUCCCAAUACAGAAGCAAUAGGAAGAUCAGACUUCUCUCUGAGAAAGGACAUUCUGACUUAGACUCCUGCCUUGAUUUUUAUCCAUAGAUGGAAGGGUACUAUCCACGGAGAGGUUUAGGAAACUAACACUGAGUGCAAUGUGGAAUCCUGGAUUGGAUCCUGGAACAGAAAAUAGACACUAGUGGAAAACCUGGUGAAAUUGGGAUGAAGUCUUCAGUUAAGAAUAUUAAUUUCCUGGUUCUGAUCAUUGCACUAUGGUGGUGUGUCAUGAUGAUAUUAAGGGAAGCUCAGUAAAGGGUAUAUGGAAACUUUCUGUUCUAUUUUAGCAACUUUUGUGUAAGUCUAAAAUUAAUCUAAAAUAAAAAGUUAAAGAAAGACACACAAUAAUUUAUUACUUCUCACACUUCUGCAGGUUUCCUGGGUGAUUCUUCAGUGUCUCACCUGGGCUCAUGAAUGCAAUGCCAUUAAUCUGGUGGGUUCACCGGGUGCUGGCUCAUCUGGAACGUGGGGGAAAUUGGGGAUCUCUUUUCAUGUAAUAUUUUUUUUUUCUUGCUAUGGUGGUUUCAGGAAAUGGUUUCAAGAUGGCAAAAACAUAAGUUGUAAGUUUCCAAAUGCCUUACCCUUGGUGGUUGUGCAUCACUUCUACCUCAUUCUGUUGGUCAAAGCAAGUCCUGAGGCCAGACCAGAUUCAAAGGAUAAGGAAAGAGACUUCAACUGUCAAGGGGAAGAGUGACAUAAUCACAUCACAAAAGGUUGUGGACACAGAGAGGUAUAAUUCAUGGGGGACACUAUUGUAAAAAUCUACAAGGAGCCAUAUUGGGCCGUGCCAGGAUACACCAAGGAACAGAUGACCAGGACACCUCCAUUCCCACUGCUGUCACAUCUCUCUUGCUGCAACCCUGGGGGAAUAUGGGCCUUCUCUCACCCUGAGUCACCUUUUCUGAUUCAAAUAAUUCUCAUGGAAUAAAAAAUAAUCCCAGUUACUAUA